AGAGAAGAGACUGAUGAUUGAUUAAUUCAUAGAGAUGAAAUUUGAGUUAGUGUUCAUCAAUCCAAGUCUUGAAAAUCAACAGAAACCAUCCCAGCAAAUUCGAUUUACAGGGUAAGUAAUUACUACUACUACCAAUAUUACUACUACUUACAACAAAGGAACUACUAUAGUUUUUAGGGCUUAUCACAUCUAUUUAGUAUUUACUUCAAAGCCAAAUUGGAAUUAGAUUUGGAUUUGGUUACCCUUUUAAGGGAGUUGAUCGAGCGGAGUUCUUGAAUCUGUUCUUGUUGUUCUAAUAACUGUGUUUCAAGCCGAGUCCGUGCUUGCCGCGGACACAUCCAGGCUUUGUGAACAAAAACGGAGAUCUCUUCGAAUUAUACAUCUUCGUAAAACCUCUUUUCCCCAAUUUCCUCAUCCUCUGCCGUCCGAGUUUAUCACUGACAGACCACGGAACGAGUUCGUCAUCCAAAUCGAACUCAUCAUGAUCAUCAUGAUCAUCGGUUUCAUCCUCCUCCUGCGCAUCGUUAUAACCGUACGCAAAACCGUCUUCCAAAGAACCGUCGAUUCGAUCCUCCACAAGCGAAAUCGGCACCGCGAGAACAGGAGAAAUCAUCUCUCGAAGAUCUUCAUGAACUCUAGCGUCAACGCUGCAGUUUUCCCCUUGUUCUUCGCCUCCAUUUCCGUCCAUUUCUGAAUCGGCAUCAAAAG
RNAcentral lists this unclassified non-coding RNA (708 nucleotides) under Hevea brasiliensis (rubber tree). Lineage: Eukaryota; Viridiplantae; Streptophyta; Magnoliopsida; Malpighiales; Euphorbiaceae. The record is from RNAcentral.